Molecule: ribosomal RNA, 352 nt
Filed under: uncultured Racocetra
Lineage: Eukaryota; Fungi; Glomeromycota; Glomeromycetes; Diversisporales; Gigasporaceae
Description: SSU rRNA
Rfam family: Eukaryotic small subunit ribosomal RNA
Source: RNAcentral
AGCAGCCGCGGUAAUUCCAGCUCCAAUAGCGUAUAUUAAAGUUGUUGCAGUUAAAAAGCUCGUAGUUGAAUUUCGGGGUUCUACCGUUGGUCGGGCUUUGUCUGUACUGGCGUGUAGAAUUUCUACCUUCUGGGGAACUAUCAUGUUAUUAAUUUAACGUGGUGGGAAACCAGGACCUUUACCUUGAAAAAAUUAGAGUGUUCAAAGCAGGCUUAUGUCUGAAUACAUUAGCAUGGAAUAAUAGAAUAGGACGGUGGUCCUGUUUUGUUGGUUUCUGAAUCACCGUAAUGAUUAAUAGGGAUAGUUGGGGGCAUUAGUAUUCAAUUGUCAGAGGUGAAAUUCUUGGAUUUAU